Long non-coding RNA from Octopus sinensis (East Asian common octopus), 542 nucleotides. RefSeq lists it as uncharacterized. NCBI's taxonomy places the organism in Eukaryota, Metazoa, Mollusca, Cephalopoda, Octopoda, Octopodidae. The record is from RefSeq and is a predicted model, not a curated record. The transcript is spliced from 2 exons.
CGAAUAAAAUUUACAAAAGUAUUGAAAUUGGUAAUGAUCUUUGGUUGCCAAAUAAUUUUCUUAUUAGAGAACUCUGAUAACGUGUUUGUCUACAAUGUCGAAAUAUUAUUGAGAAUGUUUAUUUUAUACGAACAACGCAUGAAAAUUUGCAGCGAUAAUUAUUCCUCACCUCGUCAUUUUAAUUUAAUGGCCUAACCAUUAAAAACAUUGGACAUAAGAAAUGAAUAUCAGAUGGCAUUAUUACAACAUUUUACAUGGGAUACAUUAUCGUCCAUAUUUAUCAUCUUUUACAAACUGAAGGAAGAUGCUGUGUAUAACAAAUAUAACCCAAGUUAUAUAAAUCUAUGGUAGAAUUACUGUGAAAUAUUUUGUUUGAACUGCAAUUAUUGUCAUCAAUUCUCUACUGCUUGGAAUGAGUACAAGAUGAUUUUGAUUGCAAUUUAACUUGGAUAAAUUUACAAAGAAGUUUGCAGCAUCUUCAGGUAUUGACACAGGUCACAUAUGAUGUAACUAUAGAAAAGUAAAUACAACCGUUAAAAAAA